Molecule: ribosomal RNA, 510 nt
Filed under: Babylonia lutosa
Lineage: Eukaryota; Metazoa; Mollusca; Gastropoda; Neogastropoda; Buccinidae
Description: partial 16S ribosomal RNA
Rfam family: Bacterial large subunit ribosomal RNA
Source: RNAcentral
GGCUCCUUGUAAAAACUUAAAUAGGGAGUCCGGCCUGCCCAGUGAAGGUUUUUAACGGCCGCGGUACUCUGACCGUGCAAAGGUAGCAUAAUCAUUUGCCUUAUAAUUGAAGGCUGGUAUGAAUGGUUUAACAAGAAUAUAGCUGUCUCUUUAUAAUUUGCUAGAAUUUUAUCUAUAAGUGAAGAAGCUUAUAUAAAAUUGAAGGACAAGAAGACCCUAUCGAGCUUUAAAAAAACUAAUAGACUAAAAGGUUAUUAAUAAAAAAUAAUCUAUUAGAUAUUUUAGUUGGGGCGACUAAGGAACAGAAAAAGCUUCCUCUAACAUAUCAGAAAACUAUGCAGGUAUUGAUCCAGAAAUUUUGAUUAAAGGAAAUAGUUACCGUAGGGAUAACAGCAUAAUCUUUUUUAAGAGCCCAUAUCGAAAAAAAGGUUUGUGACCUCGAUGUUGGACCAGAAUAUCCUAAAGAUGUAGCAGUCUUUAAGGGUUGGUCUGUUCGACCAUUAAAAUUCU